Molecule: long non-coding RNA, 784 nt
Filed under: Salmo salar (Atlantic salmon)
Lineage: Eukaryota; Metazoa; Chordata; Actinopteri; Salmoniformes; Salmonidae
Description: lncRNA (ENSSSAG00000106770.1)
Source: RNAcentral
AAGUUAUUGGGGUUGGUUAAUAGGGACUGGUAGCAGCCAGGGACUACAGUUAGGUCUUGGGGGUUGGUUAAUAGGGACGUAGCAGGGACUACAGUUAGGUCUUGGGGGUUGGUUAAUAGGGACUGGUAGCAGCCAGGGACUACAGUUAGGUCUUGGGGGUUGGAUAAUAGGGACUGGUAGCAGCCAGGGACUACAGUUAGGUCUUGGGGGUUGGUUAAUAGGGACUGGUAGCAACCAGGGACUACAAUUAGGUCUUGGGGGUUGGUUAAUAGGGACUGGUAGCAGCCAGGGACUACAGUUAGGUCUUGGGGGUUGGAUAAUAGGGACUGGUAGCAGCCAGGGACUACAGUUAGGUCUUGGGGGUUGGUUAAUAGGGACUGGUAGCAGCCAGGGACUACAGUUAGGUCUUGGGGGUUGGUUAAUAGGGACUGGUAGCAGCCAGGGACUACAGUUAUGUCUUGGGGGUUGGUUAAUAGGGACUGGUAGCAGCCAGGGACUACAGUUAGGUCUUGGGUGUUGGUUAAUAGGGACUGGUAGCAGCCAGGGACUACAGUUAGGUCUUGGGGGUUGGUUAAUAGAGACUGGUAGCAGCCAGGGACUACAGUUAGGUCUUGGGGGUUGGAUAAUAGGGACUGGUAGCAGCCAGGGACUACAGUUAGGUCUUAGGGGUUGGUUAAUAGGGACUGGUAGCAGCCAGGGACUACAGUUAGGUCUUGGGGGUUGGUUAAUAGGGACCGGUAGCAGGGACUACAGUUAGGUCUUGGGGGCUGGUUAAUAGGGACCG